Molecule: ribosomal RNA, 332 nt
Filed under: uncultured Rubrobacterales bacterium
Lineage: Bacteria; Bacillati; Actinomycetota; Rubrobacteria; Rubrobacterales
Description: bacterial SSU rRNA
Rfam family: Bacterial small subunit ribosomal RNA
Source: RNAcentral
CGUGUAGGCGGCUGGGUAAGUCCGCUCUGAAAGCCCGGGGCUCAACCCCGGGAGGCGGGUGGAUACUGCUCAGCUCGAGUCCGGAAGAGGAGUGUGGAAUUCCUGGUGUAGCGGUGAAAUGCGCAGAUAUCAGGAGGAACACCAAUGGCGAAGGCAGCACUCUGGGACGGUACUGACGCUGAGACGCGAAAGCGUGGGGAGCAAACAGGAUUAGAUACCCUGGUAGUCCACGCCGUAAACGAUGGGCACUAGGUGUGGGGGGUGUCGACUCCCUCCGUGCCGAAGCUAACGCAUUAAGUGCCCCGCCUGGGGAGUACGGCCGCAAGGCUAAA